AGUGGGGAAUAUUGCACAAUGGGCGCAAGCCUGAUGCAGCCAUGCCGCGUGUAUGAAGAAGGCCUUCGGGUUGUAAAGUACUUUCAGCAGUGAGGAAGGUAUCGUAGUUAAUAGCUGCGGUAUUUGACGUUAGCUGCAGAAGAAGCACCGGCUAACUCCGUGCCAGCAGCCGCGGUAAUACGGAGGGUGCGAGCGUUAAUCGGAAUUACUGGGCGUAAAGCGCAUGCAGGUGGUUUGUUAAGUCAGAUGUGAAAGCCCGGGGCUCAACCUCGGAAUUGCAUUUGAAACUGGCAGACUAGAGUACUGUAGAGGGGGGUAGAAUUUCAGGUGUAGCGGUGAAAUGCGUAGAGAUCUGAAGGAAUACCGGUGGCGAAGGCGGCCCCCUGGACAGAUACUGACACUCAGAUGCGAAAGCGUGGGGAGCAAA
Molecule: ribosomal RNA, 427 nt
Filed under: uncultured Vibrio sp.
Lineage: Bacteria; Pseudomonadati; Pseudomonadota; Gammaproteobacteria; Vibrionales; Vibrionaceae
Description: bacterial SSU rRNA
Rfam family: Bacterial small subunit ribosomal RNA
Source: RNAcentral